UAGGGUGGCCAACUGUUCUGGUUUGCCUGGGACUAAGAAAUUGCUCAGGACAAAGGAUUUUCAGUGUUAGAACCAGGAGAGU
Molecule: microRNA precursor, 82 nt
Filed under: Mustela putorius furo (domestic ferret)
Lineage: Eukaryota; Metazoa; Chordata; Mammalia; Carnivora; Mustelidae
Description: miRNA (ENSMPUG00000020594.1)
Source: RNAcentral